Long non-coding RNA from Oncorhynchus tshawytscha (Chinook salmon), 1458 nucleotides. NCBI's taxonomy places the organism in Eukaryota, Metazoa, Chordata, Actinopteri, Salmoniformes, Salmonidae. The record is from Ensembl.
GUAGUCUAAAAUGAAUUUAUGAUCGUAUGCUAUCCAUUUGUUUUUUUGUAUGCUGUUCUUUGUAUGCCAUUUUAAUAUUUGAGAAUUAACCAAUGCUAUUAGGCCACUCUUGGCCAUGAUUACAGACACCUGUGUGUCUUUUGACACUAUAUAAACGAGUCAUCCCGCAGUGUUUGUGAUUAUACCCUGAUGAAGAAAGCUUGGCUGUCGAAACGGUGGAUAUUACAUUUUUGCAUCUGAGCUCCUAGAGUGUGCGGCUCCCCUUUAUUUUCAAGUUUUCUACUCCGCUAGCCAGCACCACGCCUAAAUAGUGUGCGUUUCUUUUUCUCCUAGAUUGUCUGUUUUUGUUUGCCUUAUCUUACAUGUAGUACGGUAAUCGCGAAAUAAAGUUUGUCCAUUUAUUUUGCUGUAGAGUAUGUCGACGUUCAACAAGCCAAUGUGGCUGAAUUUGGUCCAUCAGCUCUUUCUCUAGUACAAGAAUGGCUAGCUAAAGUACUGUAAAAUAUUAUCCAGAUCUGACAUAACAACUACCUUAAAAUGCUUCCAGUAUCCUGCUGUCAAAGGGCAAAAAUGUAUAUAGCGAUGGGAAUGUUGAACAACACACAGCCGCUUGCUCAGAAAGCUGCAAGAUGGUGGACAAGCACAAGCUCUUUUUAAUGGCAGGUUCGAUGUCAACCUCUCCCAACCCUUCAUCUAGUAGUCUGCUUCAAAUCUACUGCAUCCCUAGAGUUCCCCCUUCCAUCUUGCAGGAGCCUUGGAAAACUGUGAAGUCUUCUAUAGCCAGACAGGGAGACACAUCAGCCAGCUUGCAGUUUCUCUUUAGAGUGAUAGGUUUGUCCGAUAGGCCAGCAGUCCGAGAACUUCCAAGCAAACAGAUGGUUGACUAUGAUGAGGAGACACAACGUGCUCUUUGUGUAUGUUGGAAAGGAGUCUCCACACAAGGAAGGGGCUCCGGAUGUUUCUUCGAUUCAGAGCAUAGUUUCCAAGAGCAGAGUGAGAGAUAUCACAAUAUAUAUUACAAUAUGUAGCAAUACAAUAUGUAUUAGAAGUUGUUUUGGUCAAAUGAAAUCAGACAUUUUAGUUAACAUAAAUAUCACUAUGUCUGCAGAUAGCAAGCUACUCAGCUCUCCUCAGGCACAGGGCCUAACCUCUGGGGCUAUAGGGGAGAUGGGAAUCAUGAUCUCAAUAUAUGUAAUGAUAUAGAACAUUAUUAGGAAUGAUUUUGAUGAUGUAGAUUGAUGUUGAUAACCGCCUAUGGUGUGGAAUUAGGAACUACAGUUUUCCUGGUCAAGAAGAAAAUCAAGGCCCUAUAAUCAAUUAUAACAUCACUAACAGAUUCAUUUGAUAGUAAAUUAUGUCAAAUGUUAAGGAAUUCAGUGCCUGAAAUCAUGGUAGCAUUCAUAUUCUCCCAGUGUGUUGAUGGACAUUUUAUAAUGAUUAAAAGACACAUUUUCCCCA